Molecule: long non-coding RNA, 221 nt
Filed under: Solanum tuberosum (potato)
Lineage: Eukaryota; Viridiplantae; Streptophyta; Magnoliopsida; Solanales; Solanaceae
Description: long non-coding RNA (STUB_LNC008341)
Source: RNAcentral
UUUAGUAUCAGCAUUACUAAUACACCAUAUUCAACACCUUUAUUAUACUCCCUACCAAACGACCACUAAAUAGUAUGAGAAACUUCUAUAUUUAUUCUAGUUUAUCUAUAACUAUCAAAAUGGAUUGAUUCUGCCUAUUUGAGUUAGUUCAUACAGAUUUAGAAUUUACCAGACUAGAUUAGACUGAUUCAUCAUUUUGACGGGCCACGAGAAGAAGAGGC